UACGUAGGGGGCGAGCGUUGUCCGGAAUUAUUGGGCGUAAAGAGCGUGUAGGCGGUUCGGUAAGUCUGCCGUGAAAACCUGGGGCUCAACCCCGGGCGUGCGGUGGAUACUGCCGGGCUAGAGGGUGGUAGAGGCGAGUGGAAUUCCCGGUGUAGCGGUGAAAUGCGCAGAUAUCAGGAGGAACACCGGUGGCGAAGGCGGGUCUCUGGGCCGAUACUGACGCUGAGGAGCGAAAGCGUGGGGAGCGAACAGG
RNAcentral lists this ribosomal RNA (253 nucleotides) under uncultured bacterium. RNAcentral's name for it is "partial 16S ribosomal RNA". It matches the Rfam family "Bacterial small subunit ribosomal RNA", at positions 524 to 776 of the family's 1533-position model. The record is from RNAcentral.